ACGAUGACUCUCGGCAACGGAUAUCUCGGCUCUCGCAUCGAUGAAGAACGUAGCAAAAUGCGAUACCUGGUGUGAAUUGCAGAAUCCCGUGAACCAUCGAGUCUUUGAACGCAAGUUGCGCCCGAGGCCACCCGGUCGAGGGCACGCCUGCCUGGGCGUCACGC
Molecule: ribosomal RNA, 164 nt
Filed under: Pinanga maculata
Lineage: Eukaryota; Viridiplantae; Streptophyta; Magnoliopsida; Arecales; Arecaceae
Description: 5.8S rRNA
Rfam family: 5.8S ribosomal RNA
About the family: 5.8S ribosomal RNA (5.8S rRNA) is a component of the large subunit of the eukaryotic ribosome. It is transcribed by RNA polymerase I as part of the 45S precursor that also contains 18S and 28S rRNA.
Source: RNAcentral